GGAGAGAUGGCUCAGUGGGUAAGAGCACUGACUGCUCUUCCAGAGGUCCUGAGUUCAAUUCCCAGCAACCACA
RNAcentral lists this transfer RNA (73 nucleotides) under Mus musculus (house mouse). RNAcentral describes it as "tRNA-Ser". The record is from RNAcentral. Lineage: Eukaryota; Metazoa; Chordata; Mammalia; Rodentia; Muridae.